AUUGAACGCUGGCGGCAGGCCUAACACAUGCAAGUCGAAUGGUAACAGGAAGCAGCUUGCUGUUUCGCUGACGAGUGGCGGACGGGUGAGUAAUGUCUGGGAAACUGCCUGAUGGAGGGGGAUAACUACUGGAAACGGUAGCUAAUACCGCAUAACGUCGCAAGACCAAAGAGGGGGACCUUCGGGCCUCUUGCCAUCAGAUGUGCCCAGAUGGGAUUAGCUAGUAGGUGGGGUAACGGCUCACCUAGGCGACGAUCCCUAGCUGGUCUGAGAGGAUGACCAGCCACACUGGAACUGAGACACGGUCCAGACUCCUACGGGAGGCAGCAGUGGGGAAUAUUGCACAAUGGGCGCAAGCCUGAUGCAGCCAUGCCGCGUGUAUGAAGAAGGCCUUCGGGUUGUAAAGUACUUUCAGCGGGGAGGAAGGGAGUAAAGUUAAUACCUUUGCUCAUUAACGUUACCCGCAGAAGAAGCACCGGCUAACUCCGUG
RNAcentral lists this ribosomal RNA (490 nucleotides) under uncultured bacterium. Its description in RNAcentral is "partial 16S ribosomal RNA". It matches the Rfam family "Bacterial small subunit ribosomal RNA", at positions 30 to 507 of the family's 1533-position model. The record is from RNAcentral.